This 253-nucleotide ribosomal RNA is filed under the name uncultured bacterium. RNAcentral describes it as "partial 16S ribosomal RNA". It matches the Rfam family "Bacterial small subunit ribosomal RNA", at positions 524 to 776 of the family's 1533-position model. The record is from RNAcentral.
GACAGAGGGUGCAAACGUUGUUCGGAAUUACUGGGCGUAAAGCGCGUGUAGGCGGCCAUGCAAGUCGGAUGUGAAAGCCCUCGGCUCAACCGGGGAAGUGCACUCGAAACUGCAAGGCUAGAGUCUCGGAGAGGAUCGCGGAAUUCUCGGUGUAGAGGUGAAAUUCGUAGAUAUCGAGAGGAACACCGGUGGCGAAGGCGGCGAUCUGGACGAUGACUGACGCUGAGACGCGAAAGCGUGGGGAGCAAACAGG